This 961-nucleotide long non-coding RNA is filed under the name Homo sapiens (human). Its description in RNAcentral is "HSALNT0143808". Lineage: Eukaryota; Metazoa; Chordata; Mammalia; Primates; Hominidae. The record is from RNAcentral.
CCCACUUACAAGUGAGAACACGCAAUAAUUGGUCUUCUUCUCUUCCUUCAUUAGGUUGCUGAGAAUAAUGGCUUCCAGCUCCAUCCAUGUCCCUGCAAAGGACGUGAUAUCAUUCUUUUUAUGGAUGCAUAGUAUUCCAUGUUUUCACAUCAUCUGUCCCCUUUAUCAGGACUAUCUUCUAAGGCCAAGGAACAAAAAUAAAUGAGGGCAGAGUAUUCCUCAGAUUAGAAGAAAAUAGCUUUGCCAAGUUGAUCUACUUUGGGACAGAGGAUGAGGAACUACAGCCCAUGGGCCAAAUGUCACUCUGACCCAUCCAUUGUUUUUGUCAAUAAAGUUUUAUUGGAAUACAGCCUCAUUCAUUCAUUUACAUAUUAUCUAUGACUGUUUUCUCUAUAAUGGCAGAGUGGAGCAGGAAGGACAGUGGCUCAGUAUCCAGUAAAGAUGAAAAUAUUUACUAUUUCUGUCUUUAUCAAAAAAGAAGGAAAGAAAGAAUGAAAGAAAGGAAGGAAGGAAAGGGAAGGGAAGGAAGGAAGGAAGGAAGGGGAAGAAAGAAAGAAAGGAAGGAAAGAAAGAAAGAAAGAAAGAAAGAAAGAAAGAAAGAAAGAAAGAAAGAAAGAAAGAAGAAAGAAAGAGAGAAAGAAAGAAAGAAAGAAAGAAAGAAAGAAAGAAAGAAAGAAAGAAAGAAAGAAAGAAAGAAAAAAAGAUAAAGACAAUGGCCAACCUCUGAUUUACAAUGUGUUUGCUAUUUUGUCAAGAGAUGAUUUACACAUCCUAUUUUCUUUUCCGGAUCUCCAAGAUGAAGUGGUGUACAAUUGCAAGAAUGACUAAAAGAAGGAGGAGCAUAUACUCUGCAGUUCUAACAGUCUGGGGACCACCUUUUACUAAAUUCCUUCCAUCCUUCUUUAUAAUAGUGAUUGAUGUUAUGUGGCAGGCAGUGGAGAAAUGUAACUGGUUUUCAACU